CUAGCUGUGAACGAUGGAUACUAGGCGUUGAGAGUAUCGACCCUCUCAGUGUCGUAGCUAACGCGUUAAGUAUCCCGCCUGGGGAGUACGCGCGCAAGCGUGAAACUCAAAGGAAUUGACGGGGGCCCGCACAAGCGGUGGAGUAUGUGGUUUAAUUCGAUGCAACGCGAAGAACCUUACCAGGGCUUGACAUGUCCGGAACCCUGCCCAAAGGCGGGGGUGCCUACGGGAACCGGAACACAGGUGGUGC
RNAcentral lists this ribosomal RNA (250 nucleotides) under uncultured Chroococcidiopsis sp. RNAcentral's name for it is "partial 16S ribosomal RNA". It matches the Rfam family "Bacterial small subunit ribosomal RNA", at positions 796 to 1044 of the family's 1533-position model. Lineage: Bacteria; Bacillati; Cyanobacteriota; Cyanophyceae; Chroococcidiopsidales; Chroococcidiopsidaceae. The record is from RNAcentral.